RNAcentral lists this ribosomal RNA (407 nucleotides) under uncultured bacterium. RNAcentral's name for it is "partial 16S ribosomal RNA". It matches the Rfam family "Bacterial small subunit ribosomal RNA", at positions 28 to 526 of the family's 1533-position model. The record is from RNAcentral.
GACGAACGCUGGCGGCGUGCCUAAUACAUGCAAGUAGAACGCAGUUGCGAACGGGUGAGUAACAUGUCGGUAACCUCCCCAUUGGGGGGGAUUAAUUUUUGAAACGAUUGCUAAUACCCCAUUCUGUUGGACGGACCUGCGUUGUAUUAGCUAGUUGGUGGGGUAAAGGGCCACCAAGGACACGAUCCAUAGGCGACCUGAGAGGGAGGUCGGCCACAAUGGGACUGAGACAAGGCCCAGACUCCUACGGGAGGCAGCAGUAGGGGAUCUUCGGACAUGGACGGAAGUCUGAACGAGCAACGCCGCGUGAGUGAAGAAGGUUUUCGGAUCGUAAAGCUAUGUUGUUAGAGAAGCGGUACCUAACCAGAAAGGGACGGCUAACUACGUGCCAGCAGCCGCGGUAAUAC